AGUUAUUCAUGGAAAUGAGUGAUGAAUAAAAAUGAGGGCAAGCUUUCUUUUGCACAAAUUGGAUUGGAAUGAGGCUGAUGCUGCAGUUAGAUGCCUUUCGUUCGUGCAAUUGUUUCAUGGAUUUGAGAUUUAAAUAGCUAGAGGGCCAUAUGUUCAUGAAUUUCUACAGCCAUGUAUAUUUUUCCAAACUGUUGUGUUCCCAUUUUCAGAGUGUAAUGUUUGGAUCUGUGAGGGAUUCUAUAGCGUAAAUAAUUGAGCAAGACGACUGAG
RNAcentral lists this unclassified non-coding RNA (270 nucleotides) under Hevea brasiliensis (rubber tree). Lineage: Eukaryota; Viridiplantae; Streptophyta; Magnoliopsida; Malpighiales; Euphorbiaceae. The record is from RNAcentral.